This 282-nucleotide unclassified non-coding RNA is filed under the name uncultured fungus. Its description in RNAcentral is "sequence contains ITS1, 5.8S rRNA gene". The stretch from base 234 to 282 matches the Rfam family "5.8S ribosomal RNA", at positions 1 to 49 of the family's 154-position model. The record is from RNAcentral. Lineage: Eukaryota; Fungi.
UUUCCGUAGGUGAACCUGCGGAAGGAUCAUUACUGAAAUGUAAUAACUUCUAUUGAAAGGUUCCAGAGUAGGCGCUACAACGCCGAAAUGACCUUCUCACCCUUGUGUACUCACUAUGUUGCUUUGGCGGGCCGUUAGGCUUCGGCUUGGCUACCGGCUUCGGCUGGUAAGCGCCCGCCAGAGGACCCCAAACUCUAAAUUUUAAUGUCGUCUGAGUACUAUAUAAUAGUUAAAACUUUCAACAACGGAUCUCUUGGUUCUGGCAUCGAUGAAGAACGCAGC